AAGCGGAGGAAAAGAAACCAACAGGGAUUGCCCCAGUAACGGCGAGUGAAGCGGCAAGAGCUCAAAUUUGAAAGCUGGCUCCUUCGGGGUCCGCAUUGUAAUUUGCAGAGGAUGCUUCGGGAGCGGUCCCCAUCUAAGUGCCCUGGAACGGGACGUCAUAGAGGGUGAGAAUCCCGUAUGGGAUGGGGUGUCCGCGCCCGUGUGAAGCUCCUUCGACGAGUCGAGUUGUUUGGGAAUGCAGCUCUAAAUGGGUGGUAAAUUUCAUCUAAAGCUAAAUAUUGGCCGGAGACCGAUAGCGCACAAGUAGAGUGAUCGAAAGAUGAAAAGCACUUUGAAAAGAGAGUUAAAAAGCACGUGAAAUUGUUGAAAGGGAAGCGCUUGCGACCAGACUCGCUCGCGGGGUUCAGCCGGCAUUCGUGCCGGUGUAUUUCCCCGCGGGCGGGCCAGCGUCGGUUUGGGCGGUCGGUCAAAGGCCCUCGGAAGGUAACGCCCCUAGGGGCGUCUUAUAGCCGAGGGUGCAAUGCGACCUGCCUAGACCGAGGAACGCGC
This 549-nucleotide ribosomal RNA is filed under the name Penicillium sp. C23. RNAcentral describes it as "eukaryotic LSU rRNA". It matches the Rfam family "Eukaryotic large subunit ribosomal RNA", at positions 48 to 600 of the family's 3401-position model. Lineage: Eukaryota; Fungi; Ascomycota; Eurotiomycetes; Eurotiales; Aspergillaceae. The record is from RNAcentral.